Molecule: ribosomal RNA, 601 nt
Filed under: uncultured bacterium
Lineage: Bacteria
Description: bacterial SSU rRNA
Rfam family: Bacterial small subunit ribosomal RNA
Source: RNAcentral
GAAAGGUUUCGGCCGGACAGAGAUGGGCAUGCGGCGCAUUAGGCAGUUGGCGGGGUAACGGCCCACCAAACCGACGAUGCGUAGGGGUUCUGAGAGGAAGGUCCCCCACACUGGUACUGAGACACGGACCAGACUCCUACGGGAGGCAGCAGUGAGGAAUAUUGGUCAAUGGCCGGAAGGCUGAACCAGCCAAGCCGCGUGAAGGACGAAGGUGCUAAGCAUUGUAAACUUCUUUUGUCAAGGGACAAAAUCAGGCUCGAGAGCCUGACCGAGGGUACUUGAAGAAAAAGCAUCGGCUAACUCCGUGCCAGCAGCCGCGGUAAUACGGAGGAUGCGAGCGUUAUCCGGAUUUAUUGGGUUUAAAGGGUGCGUAGGCGGGCUGUUAAGUCAGCGGUAAAAGCCCGGGGCUCAACCCCGGCGAGCCGUUGAAACUGGCGGUCUUGAGAGGCCGAGAGGUAUGCGGAAUGCGCAGUGUAGCGGUGAAAUGCUUAGAUAUUGCGCAGAACUCCGAUUGCGAAGGCAGCAUACCGGCGGCGAUCUGACGCUGAGGCACGAAAGCGUGGGUAUCGAACAGGAUUAGAUACCCUGGUAGUCCACGCAG